GUCUGCAUUGAGAAAACCAACUUUAACAGACUACAGUAAGUAAGAAUUCUUCAGGCAUCAAACUUAAGUGGUCCCGAUCGGGGGCAACUGGAAUGACUUGGCUCUCCUCCAUGUGUCUUCUCAACCUCCUGUAGGCUGUUCUGGGCAUGUAUUCAUGGUGAUAGAGGAUGAAUAAAAGAGAAGACACACCCAUCUAGCAAAUUCUUUCCUGGUUUUUGUUCGUGUCACAUCCCUUUGGCCAGUAAGGUGGUCCACCAUCCUGAUUGUUCUCAUUGAGGGAUUUCCCAGUGAUUCGGGAGCUUCCCUGAAUGUGGGGUCCUCCCUCCAUACAAAAACAAAGAGAAUGCAGGUUGGUCACCUGUCUAGUCACCUGGCCAGGUCUGGAGCAAGAGUGGGAGGCAACGCAAAGCACAGAGUUUGGAUAUGAGGAGCAAAGGACUGGGGGUAAUCAAUCUACUGCUGAUGGGCUGUGUGUUUUUCACUUCACUACUAAACCAACUUUUAGACCAAACAAGUCAUGAAAGAUUUCAGAGAUGAAGUGCUUUGGACCAGGUCUGGAAGGAUGACUAGAAGCGCACUUGUUCCUAAAGCAGAGAAGUUAAGGUCACAGUCUUUAGCAUCAGACAAGUUUGGGAUGAUACUCUGCCACCACCAA
Long non-coding RNA from Talpa occidentalis (Iberian mole), 655 nucleotides. RefSeq lists it as uncharacterized. The record is from RefSeq and is a predicted model, not a curated record. NCBI's taxonomy places the organism in Eukaryota, Metazoa, Chordata, Mammalia, Eulipotyphla, Talpidae. The transcript has 3 exons.